Paramacrobiotus metropolitanus is the source of this 762-nucleotide RNA transcript. RefSeq lists it as uncharacterized. The transcript has 4 exons. Lineage: Eukaryota; Metazoa; Tardigrada; Eutardigrada; Parachela; Macrobiotidae. The record is from RefSeq and is a predicted model, not a curated record.
GCAUAAUAAUGACACAUAAAUGAGAAUCUUUACUGGAGUAAUUAGAAUUAGUUGAAAUUAGUGCUUACAGUGCUUACUGAUGUUGGUUUGUGACUCUUUGGGCUCUAGUGUGUACGGAAAUUUAGCACUGAUCGUCAUAAAACAUUUCUGUAAUAAUUAUUAAGCAGCAUGAUUAGAUUAUUGGGACCAAUAAUUUUGAUUCUGCAUUGUCAAAUUUGUUUUUAGGGGUCGCAGCAAUCGUCUGUUAUGAAUGCACAACAUCAUCGCCCAGUACGCCACAACAUUUAUGCCCCAGUAAAUACAAUGAACAGCAGAACAUCAGCGCUCUUCCCAAGACAACCUGCACUCGCACAAAUUAUUGUGCUGAAGUAUCCUACCAGACCGAAAGCGAAAAAAGGUUUAAGGGAAAGAACUGCCUUGGUUCGAACGGUGUGGCGGACGGUGAAAUGGAUAAUCCAACCCCAGGAUGCAAAGUGAGCGAUCUUGGUCACGUACGAUAUGUCUACUGUUUGUGCAAUACUGAUUUGUGCAACAAUCGAACAUUGUCUGAGCUACUCGUUGCGCGAUCAUCUUACAACACAUUGUACCCUUUAUUGCCGUUUUUACCUCUCUUUUUAGCAAAGCUGCUCUGACCGUAGAAUAAUGGCAUGUAUAUAUUGACCAAAUCUGGUUUAGAUCAAGAUACACUGCUUUAACACGUACUGUGGAAGAAGCCUGCAGAGUAAAAAAUUGCGAACAAUCACAAUCCCGGUCCAAGACUUC